UGAUGGAGCAACGCCGCGUGAGUGAAGAAGGGUUUCGGCUCGUAAAACUCUGUUGUUAAAGAAGAACAUAUCUGAGAGUAACUGUUCAGGUAUUGACGGUAUUUAACCAGAAAGCCACGGCUAACUACGUGCCAGCAGCCGCGGUAAUACGUAGGUGGCAAGCGUUGUCCGGAUUUAUUGGGCGUAAAGCGAGCGCAGGCGGUUUUUUAAGUCUGAUGUGAAAGCCUUCGGCUCAACCGAAGAAGUGCAUCGGAAACUGGGAAACUUGAGUGCAGAAGAGGACAGUGGAACUCCAUGUGUAGCGGUGAAAUGCGUAGAUAUAUGGAAGAACACCAGUGGCGAAGGCGGCUGUCUGGUCUGUAACUGACGCUGAGGCUCGAAAGUAUGGGUAGCAAACAGGAUUAGAUACCCUGGUAGUCCAUACCGUAAACGAUGAAUGCUAAGUGUUGGAGGGUUUCCGCCCUUCAGUGCUGCAGCUAACGCAUUAAGCAUUCCGCCUGGGGAGUACGGCCGCAAGGCUGAAACUCAAAGGAAUUGACGGGGGCCCGCACAAGCGGUGGAGCAUGUGGUUUAAUUCGAAGCUACGCGAAGAACCUUACCAGGUCUUGACAUACUAUGCAAAUCUAAGAGAUUAGACGUUCCCUUCGGGGACAUGGAUACAGGUGGUGCAUGGUUGUCGUCAGCUCGUGUCGUGAGAUGUUGGGUUAAGUCCCGCAACGAGCGCAACCCUUAUUAUCAGUUGCCAGCAUUAAGUUGGGCACUCUGGUGAGACUGCCGGUGACAAACCGGAGGAAGGUGGGGGAUGACGUCAAAUCAUCAUGCCCCUUAUGACCUGGGCUACACACGUGCUACAAUGGAUGGUACAACGAGUUGCGAACUCGCGAGAGUAAGCUAAUCUCUUAAAGCCAUU
Molecule: ribosomal RNA, 910 nt
Filed under: Lactiplantibacillus argentoratensis
Lineage: Bacteria; Bacillati; Bacillota; Bacilli; Lactobacillales; Lactobacillaceae
Description: bacterial SSU rRNA
Rfam family: Bacterial small subunit ribosomal RNA
Source: RNAcentral